RNAcentral lists this ribosomal RNA (468 nucleotides) under uncultured bacterium. RNAcentral describes it as "partial 16S ribosomal RNA". It matches the Rfam family "Bacterial small subunit ribosomal RNA", at positions 28 to 507 of the family's 1533-position model. The record is from RNAcentral.
GACGAACGCUGGCGGCGUGCUUAACACAUGCAAGUCGAACGGAAAGGCCCUUCUUUUGUGGGGUGCUCGAGUGGCGAACGGGUGAGUAACACGUGAGUAACCUGCCCUUGACUUUGGGAUAACUUCAGGAAACUGGGGCUAAUACCGGAUAGGAGCUCCUGCUGCAUGGUGGGGGUUGGAAAGUUUCGGCGGUUGGGGAUGGACUCGCGGCUUUUCAGCUUGUUGGUGGGGUAGUGGCUUACCAAGGCUUUGACGGGUAGCCGGCCUGAGAGGGUGACCGGCCACAUUGGGACUGAGAUACGGCCCAGACUCCUACGGGAGGCAGCAGUGGGGAAUAUUGCAAAAUGGGCGGAAGCCGGAUGCAGCAACGCCGCGUGCGGGAUGACGGCCUUCGGGUUGUAAACCGCUUUCGCCUGUGACGAAGCGUGAGUGACGGUAAUGGGUAAAGAAGCACCGGCUAACUACGUG